Danionella cerebrum is the source of this 71-nucleotide non-coding RNA. Lineage: Eukaryota; Metazoa; Chordata; Actinopteri; Cypriniformes; Danionidae. The record is from the annotation of a GenBank genome assembly.
UUUCCUGUGGUUCAGUUAGUAUAACAAUCUGCUAGCAGCGCAAAGGUCGUGGGUUCAAACCCCCAGGAAUG